RNAcentral lists this transfer RNA (63 nucleotides) under Septifer bilocularis. RNAcentral's name for it is "tRNA-Met". The record is from RNAcentral. Lineage: Eukaryota; Metazoa; Mollusca; Bivalvia; Mytilida; Mytilidae.
UACAAGAUAAUCUAAGUUUAGGAUAUGGGGCUCAUACUUCCAAAGUGCUUUAAGCUCUUGUAA